Molecule: non-coding RNA, 30 nt
Filed under: Rattus norvegicus (Norway rat)
Lineage: Eukaryota; Metazoa; Chordata; Mammalia; Rodentia; Muridae
Source: RNAcentral
UGGGAAACUGAGCAGGAACCUAAGAAAAAU